AGAUUGAACGCUGGCGGCAUGCCUAACACAUGCAAGUCGAGCGGCAGCGCGGGGGCGACCCUGGCGGCGAGCGGCGGACGGGUGAGUAAGGCAUCGGAAUCUGCCCUGAUGUUGGGGGAUAACGUAGGGAAACUUACGCUAAUACCGCAUACGACCGAGAGGUGAAAGCGGGGGGACCGAAAGGCCUCGCGCAGCACGGAUAGAGCCGAUGUCCGAUUAGGCUAGUUGGUGGGGUUAACGGCCUACCAAGGCGACGAUCGGUAGCUGGUCUGAGAGGAUCGGAUCAGCCACACUGGGACUGAGACACGGCCCAGACUCCUACGGGAGGCAGC
This 332-nucleotide ribosomal RNA is filed under the name uncultured prokaryote. Its description in RNAcentral is "bacterial SSU rRNA". It matches the Rfam family "Bacterial small subunit ribosomal RNA", at positions 26 to 352 of the family's 1533-position model. The record is from RNAcentral.